This 357-nucleotide transfer RNA is filed under the name uncultured Microcystis sp. Its description in RNAcentral is "partial 16S-23S ribosomal RNA intergenic spacer". The stretch from base 133 to 206 matches the Rfam family "tRNA". The record is from RNAcentral. Lineage: Bacteria; Bacillati; Cyanobacteriota; Cyanophyceae; Chroococcales; Microcystaceae.
AAGGGAGACCUAAUUCGGGUAGAAGACGAAAAAAUAGUAGUCGAAACCAAGAAUCAAUCCCAAAAGGUCGGGACGAGGUAUGUGGCUUUCAAACUAGGUUCUGGGUUCACAAAAGACCUGAAUCAGGAACAAGGGCUAUUAGCUCAGGCGGUUAGAGCGCACCCCUGAUAAGGGUGAGGUCCCUGGUUCGAGUCCAGGAUGGCCCACCUGCACAGGUGGCAAAAACAAGAGAAACGAGGAAUCAGCACCUUAUCUUACUUACAUAGUAAGAGAGAAUGCUGGCUCUGAGUAAAGAGUCCAGAGGAACCUUGAAAACUGCAUAGAGCUAGGUGAAAAAGCCAAAAAAGAAGACCGCAA